Molecule: ribosomal RNA, 816 nt
Filed under: Megascolecidae sp. Me_359
Lineage: Eukaryota; Metazoa; Annelida; Clitellata; Crassiclitellata; Megascolecidae
Description: partial 16S ribosomal RNA
Rfam family: Bacterial large subunit ribosomal RNA (bases 1-520)
Source: RNAcentral
GCCCAGUGACAUACUGUUCAACGGCCGCGGUAUCCUAACCGUGCAAAGGUAGCAUAAUCACUUGCCUAUUAAUUGUAGGCUAGAAUGAAGGGGUUAACGAAAUAAAAACUGUCUCAAUUAGUCACCUAAAAAUUAUUAUCUACUUGAAGAAAAGUAGAUAAACUCGAAGGACAAGAAGACCCUAUAGAGCUUAAUUUUAAAUAUAGAACUACACUAUAUUAAUAUUCGGUUGGGGCGACCCAGGGCUAAAUAAUCACCCUUUACAUAAAAGAUAAAUUAAUCAAAUAACUGACCCUUCAAAGAUCAUAAGACCAAGCUACCUUAGGGAUAACAGGCUAAUCCCACUCAAGAGUCCUUAUCAACAGUGGGGUUUGGCACCUCGAUGUUGGCUUAGGGUAUCUAUAUAGCGCAAAAGUUAUAUAAAGAUGGUUUGUUCAACCAAUAAUUUCCCUACAUGAGCUGAGUUCAGACCGGCGUAAGCCAGGUUAGCUUCUAUCCUCGACCACAUAUUCUACUCCUAGUACGAAAGGACCUGAGCAGAAUAAUUACUUAUAGAAAAGAAUACAUAUAAUUAAACAUAAAUAAUACCACACUAUAAACUAUAUAAGUGUGUUGGCAGAAUAGUGCAAUUGAUUUAGGAUCAAUUUAUGGAAUUAAUACCACACACUAUACUGUGACUUAGUUUAUUUAGAACAAUCAACUUGCACUUGAUAAGAGAGAUCUCUCAGUGACGGUUUGAAGUUUAGGAAACACUAGAUUUUGAACAUCUAUAAGAACGUUCAAUUCGUUAUCAAACCUUAACAAGAUGGCAGAAUA